GCCUUACGAGCACUAUGAGACAUGCAGGAGAAGAAUGCACUUAGCAACUGCAAUUGCAAAGAAAGGGGGGGGGGGGGCGUUAAAUGUGCAGUGACAUGGCAAAAUCUCUCCUGGGCUUUCCACACACGCCCUUGAGCCCCUAUUCUCCACCCUCAUCCAUGAUGUCAGGAGGUUUUUUUUUUUGUUUCUUUUGGGCUGUGAUGUCUUGACUCAACCCAUUAGUUUAAAUAGUGACACAGUGCACACAGGUGUCACAUCUUUACCUGGGAUCCUGCUCAGAACAUCUCCCUCGCAAGCAGUCCACCUGUACGCCACGCCUGACAGGAUCCUCAUUUCAAGGAACUGCACUGCUUUUCACUUCUUAUCCCUAUUUCUCCCAUCACUGGAACUGAAGAUAGGAUCUACAGCUAUGGACAACAGACUAGUCCUCACAGUCCUGCUCGUGACACUGUCGUGGCUAUCCGUGGGCACCUACGCGCAAAGCACGGCCACGAGCGCAGCACCAGGAAACAACAUGACCACGGCAUCAGGAAACAACAUGACCAUGGCACCAGGAAACAACAUGACCACAGCACAAGUAAACAUGACCGCAGCACCAGUAAACAUGACCACAGCACAAGUAAACAUGACCGCAGCACCAGCGGCUUCCCCACUGACAGCCAACACCACAGUGGAAAAUCUUGAGACAACUAUUAACAGAACAGGAUGUGGGACCGAGCAGCUCUGUGCAGCUGAGCCUGCUUCGUGCGACCCCGCUGUUGCAGGAUCAUGCUUCUUUCUCUCUGCUAGGCAGACGAGCGGUCAAAAUUUUGAGUUUGGGCUCUCAGGAGAGGCAGAUGGCUACAUCGCUGCCACACUGUCAAGUGACAGCAAUUUGGGCGGCAACGACACAACCUACAUCUGUGCGAACAACAACAGUGUUGUGGCAUUCUUUUCUGCUCUCCUCAACAAUGGCAUGCUGACACUGUCAGAGCUGAAUGUGAACAACGUGAGGGGCAGGGUCACUGGAAAUAGGAUCCAGUGUACAUUUGCUGCCACCGUACCAGAUACUAGUGUAACUUCUAGAUCAAACAGAGCAUCAAGUCUAGCACUCGCAAUCUCCACUGGACCUUUCAACAGCACUUCUGGUGCUCUGGGAGCCCCAGCCACCCGACUACAGAGUCCUGUUGUAAACCUGGCCAAUCCUAACACCACCAUCGACAAUCAGGUUCUAAACACUACCAAUGCCACCGCUUCCUCUUCCAACAUGACCACACAAGCUGGAGACAACACGACCACAGCAUCAGCGGCUCCCCCACUGACAUCCAACACCACAGUGGAAAGUCUUGAGACAACUAUUAACAGAACAGGAUGUGGGACCGAGCAGCUCUGUGCAGCUGAGCCUGCUUCGUGCAACCCUGCUGUUGCAGGAUCAUGCUUCUUUCUCUCUGCUAGGCAGAUGAGCGGUCAAAAGUUUGAGUUUGGGCUCUCAGGAGAGGCAGAUGGCUACAUUGCUGCCACACUGUCAAGUGACAGCACAUUGGGCGGCAAUGACCAAACCUUCAUCUGUGCGAACAACAACAGUGUUGUGGCAUUCUUUUCUGCUCUCCUCAACAAUGGCAUGCUGACACUGUCAGAGCUGAAUGUGAACAACGUGAGGGGCAGGGUCACUGGAAAUAGGAUCCAGUGUACAUUCGCUGCCACCGUACCAGAUACUAGUGUAACUUCUAGAUCAAACAGAGCAGCAAGUCUAGCACUCGCAAUCUCCACUGGACCUUUCAACAGCACUUCUGGUGCUCUGGGAGCCCCAACCACCCGACUACUGAGUCCUGUUGUAAACCUGGCCAAUCCUAACACCACCGUCGUCAAUCAGAUUUCGACAACCACCAACGCCCCCACCACUUCCUCUACCACCACUUCCUCUCCCAUCACUUCCACUCCCACCGCUCCCACUCCCACCAUGACCACCAACCACGCCAUCACAUUCCAGCAAUCACUGAUGCAAGCCAUGCUGAUAGCUGCCGGUGUGCUGGCUCUCUUCAUGCUAUGAGGAACCCCUCAUGAGUCAAGACAAGAAACUCGUUAUUGACUUAUUUAAAUAAAUGUCAGUGUUGCCUCUGUAGUCAUUCAGCAGUGGUGAACCCUGCUAUAAUGAAAAAAAUAGAAAUUAAUGUGAUAAAUUAGCCUUCCAUUCCCACCAAACGCUAAUAGGUAUUUAGAUUUAGCUCUCUUCAGCCGAAGUUAAACUGACCCAAAAAUGACUCCCACCCACCACUGUUAACAAAGAAUUACAGGGGAAACAUCACAUGUGUAAUGGAAUAUAGUCUGUUAAGCAUCUCGCAGGAGCUUGAUUAAACACAGUUCAGCCCAGGUUAUCAGGAUUCGUUUUGUAUCAACUCACAGCAGGGAAAGUAGGACUGGUGGAGGGGGGUCACUCUUUGACAGCCUUUCUGCAGACUGCUUUCACAACUGUAACAGGCUCUGAAACAAACAGGUGAAUCCAAUUUGAAGAAUUUUUAAUUGUAACUUGUGUUACUUGUUUUUGAAUGUUUUCUGACCAAAGGACAGCUGGAUUAUUGUCUUAAAAGUUACUGAAUUGCUGGCCAAACAUCUAUGACAGAUGUACAAAUAGCUACAAUUAGACACAAAUGGCAAUUUAAAUUACAAUUACAACCAUAAAGAGCCAUACAGAAAAUUUAGGGUUUGAGGUCUGGUUACCUUUUACUCCCACAUUUAUUAAUGUCAGUAAAAACCUCAUGAUUCGGUAACAAGAUCAGUUGGUAAAUCACAACAGUGCAUUCAUGUCAAAACCUUUUGUCAAAAGCUGAAGUACUAAUGAAGGACUUUUUUGUUAAUCAUGAUGUUCUUUUGUUUCCCUACACAAUGGUUAGAUGUGACUUUUGUAAAGGACCAUAAUUAUUUUUCAUUUUGGGUGUGUCACUAGGCAUUCACAAUCAAAAAAUAUGUGUUGUCCUUUUGUGUCACUCACAGUGGUGUCAGAAAAUGGCAGAUAUGUCCGUUUUCUCAUUAUGUUAUUAGUAUAUUGAUGUUAUUCUCUUUAGUGUGAAUGUACAUAUCUUGGAUGUUUCAUCAAUGCUUUUACAAUGAAGCCUUCACUGGCUGAUAUUUUCAUGUGCGCAUGUUAUGAGUAAGUGCACAUUCAAGUGAGCAGUUGCUUAUAAAGAAAGUUAUGAUAUGAUACCAAAUAUUGGUGAAAUUGAUUUUGCAUAUUGCAUUAUGUAACAACUGCAUUUUUAUUACAUAUUUUUGAAAUAAAUAUUUUACCCAAACUGAUUAUCUUUGUGGAAUAAAUAGGCUACAUUAAAACUGACACUGAAAUUAUAGCAGCAGGCCUUCUUGGCAUUUGUAACUUUCUUGAUUUGAAUUCCCGUGAAAUAUGUUUUCAGCAUCAGUUCAUUGGAAUAUGCUGACAAAAAGCAGUCGUAUAAUCAACAAUCAUAUAUGGGGAUUUCAGAAUAUUCAAAAGGUAAAGAUAGGACAUGAAAGUAUAGUGAAAGCAUUAAUGUGUUAAUUACAGGAUGACAAAUACCAAUUAUUUAAAAUGUUGAGCAAUCUCUCGACUAUGUUCUCUUGUAUAAUCAUUAAGUUGUUUUGUUGCCUCCCAAAGCCCAAAAAUAAAUCCUCAAAUGUCUUGUUUUGUCCACAGCCCACAUUAUUCAUAAAGGAGUAAAUAACACACACAUUUUUGCACUUGAGAAGCUUAUACCAGAUUUUUUUUUCUUCUUGAAAAGUUACACAAACCAAUUGUGAAUCAAAAUAAGUAGAUGAGAAGUAAUUGAUUUACUGUUGCAGCUCUAGUUAAUAACACAAAUGUCC
Long non-coding RNA from Sparus aurata (gilthead seabream), 3816 nucleotides. The record is from Ensembl. NCBI's taxonomy places the organism in Eukaryota, Metazoa, Chordata, Actinopteri, Spariformes, Sparidae.